Molecule: transfer RNA, 88 nt
Filed under: Verrucomicrobiia bacterium Tous-C3TDCM
Lineage: Bacteria; Pseudomonadati; Verrucomicrobiota; Verrucomicrobiia
Description: Verrucomicrobiae bacterium Tous-C3TDCM tRNA-Ser
Rfam family: tRNA
About the family: Transfer RNA (tRNA) molecules are approximately 80 nucleotides in length. Their secondary structure includes four short double-helical elements and three loops (D, anti-codon, and T loops). Further hydrogen bonds mediate the characteristic L-shaped molecular structure. tRNAs have two regions of fundamental functional importance: the anti-codon, which is responsible for specific mRNA codon recognition, and the 3' end, to which the tRNAs corresponding amino acid is attached (by aminoacyl-tRNA synthetases). tRNAs cope with the degeneracy of the genetic code in two manners: having more than one tRNA (with a specific anti-codon) for a particular amino acid; and 'wobble' base-pairing, i.e. permitting non-standard base-pairing at the 3rd anti-codon position.
Source: RNAcentral
GGAGAGGUGGCAGAGUGGUCUAUGGCGUCAGUCUUGAAAACUGAAGUAGCGCAAGCUACCGUGGGUUCGAAUCCCACCCUCUCCGCCA